CCUACGGGUGGCAGCAGUGGGGAAUAUUGCACAAUGGGGGAAACCCUGAUGCAGCGACGCCGCGUGAGUGAAGAAGUAUCUCGGUACGUAAAGCUCUAUCAGCAGGGAAGAUAAUGACGGUACCUGACCAAGAAGCCCCGGCUAACUACGUGCCAGCAGCCGCGGUAAUACGUAGGGGGCAAGCGUUAUCCGGAUUUACUGGGUGUAAAGGGAGCGUAGACGGCAGGACAAGUCUGGAGUGAAAUCCCGGGGCUUAACCCCGGCACUGCAGUGGGAACUGGCCGGCUGGAGUGCAGGGAGGGCAGGCGGAAUUCGUAGUGUAGCGGUGAAAUGCGUAGAUAUGACGAAGAACCCCGAUGGCGAAGGCAGCUUGCUGCAGCGGAACUGACGCUGAUGCUCGAAAGCGUGGGUAGCGAACAGGAUUAGAUACCCCUGUAGUC
Molecule: ribosomal RNA, 440 nt
Filed under: uncultured bacterium
Lineage: Bacteria
Description: partial 16S ribosomal RNA
Rfam family: Bacterial small subunit ribosomal RNA
Source: RNAcentral